AUAUGUCUUUAUUAAAAAAAAGCAAUAUUAAUCUUACAAUAUUACUUAAUACUACAUUGCCAAGAAGGCGAAGAUUAGCUUAAAGCUACUCUUUAACUCUUAACCUUCCUAACAUUCACAGUUUAAAUGGAGAAAACGAGAAAAAAAAAACAAAAAAAGAAACAAGUAUAUAUAAAGUAUUUAUCUUCUAGAACACUAGACUAUAUUUUGGAUUGAUUUAAAAACAAAAGUUUAUAAUAUUUCCUAUACACAUUUAACGAAGUAUUAAAUAUUGGUUUAUAAGUAUUAAAGAACUUAACGGCAUUAUAAGUAAAAGAUCGCUCGAAUAGAGCCGUGGAAUGGUGCGGCAUGGUCAAGAUAUUGUAUCUAAUAUUUCGAGUGUGAACAUGGUUUCUUGGUAUUAACUUUUCAAAAAGAUAUUCAGGUCUUUGACUAACAUAUAAUCGAUAAAGAAAAGUAGAAGUGAAGAAUUUGAAUAGGUAAGGUAGCGUUAACCACCUCAACUGAAGUAUAGAGUCUGAUACAUGAUCAAACUUUCCGAGGUUAAAAAUAAAUCUACAGCAAGUAUUCUGCACGCGUUGCAGGCGGUAACGAUUUAUUUGGUCUAAGCAAGGAUAAUAAACUAUAAGGCAGUAAUUUAGAAUAGAUAAAACAAGAGCCACUACAAGUUUUUUCCUAGUUUUAAAAUUUAAAAUGUGUUUAUUGGUAUAAAGCAUACGCAUGCGUAAAUAACACCUCUGCAAAAGAGUAUUAACAUGUUCCUUAAACCUUAAAGAAUUGUCUAUUGUAAGUCCCAGAACCUUCACAGUAUCAGAGAAUAAAAUAGUUUCGUUAUCCAAUUGAAUGUGAACAGUUUCCAUUAUAUUUUUAUGUGAUCCUCGGUUUGAAAACAAAACCAUUUUUGUUUUAUUAGGAUUAAUGACAAGGUUAUGCUCUUUUGAAAAUUGAUUUAUUACGUUCAGAUCAGCGUUAAUAGUAUCAGCCACGUUAUCAAAAUUAGCAGAGUCAAAAUAAUGUAUGUAUUGAGUAUCAUCAGCAUACUGAUGUAUUUCAGAAUCUUCAACUAGACCGGGUAAAUCUGAAGUAUAUAUAAGAAAUAAUAAUGGGCCUAGGAUCGACCCUUGUGGGACACCAGAAAUAAUGUUUUUCGAAGCAGAAUAUUCAUUAUUCACCCUCACUUUCUGGGUUCUACGCCAUAAUUUCGCUACAAGCAAAUCAUGAUCGAUGACAUCAAAUGCUUUCGAGAAAUCAAGGGCUAUCAUAAUGGCUGAAAUCUUUUUGUCAAGAGCUCGCAUGAUAUUAUCGGUGACGUUUAGAAGUGAACUAGCUGUACUAUGAUGUUUUCUAAAACCAGAUUGAUGGGAAGGGAGGAUAUUAUUUGACAUUAAAAAUGAUGACAGCUGCAUAUAGACUAUUCUUUCGAGAACUUUGGAGAUUACGGGAAGCAAACUUAUCGGACGCAAAUCUUCAAUACUUUCAGGACUGGAGGAUUUGGGAAUCGGACAUACCACUGAUUCACGCCAGGCCGUAGGAAAAUAUCCUACCUCCAAACAACAAUUUAUAAUAUGAGUGACAUGAUCCAGUAUAUCAGGGAGACAUAAGUGUAACAUACGUCGAGUUAUGUUAUCCACACCAGAGGCAUUGGACCUAAUAUUUUUUAUAGUUUUUUCGACAGUACUUUGGUCUACUAACGAAAAAUGAAAAUUAUCCUCGGUAAAUUUAUUACUGGAGUAGAAGUUAAUUUUGUUUACACAUUUAUCAGAUUUAUUAAAAACACUUACAAAAAAAUCAUUUAUUUGAUUUGGAUCAGAUAUAUUAAACGGCAGCUCGUUAUUA
Molecule: long non-coding RNA, 1836 nt
Organism: Anthonomus grandis grandis
Lineage: Eukaryota; Metazoa; Arthropoda; Insecta; Coleoptera; Curculionidae
Exons: 2
Source: RefSeq, a predicted model, not a curated record